RNAcentral lists this long non-coding RNA (242 nucleotides) under Olea europaea (common olive). RNAcentral's name for it is "long non-coding RNA (OEUR_LNC001328)". The record is from RNAcentral. Lineage: Eukaryota; Viridiplantae; Streptophyta; Magnoliopsida; Lamiales; Oleaceae.
UUUACAUUUCAAGAAAAGUAUUAGCAGCACCAGCAUCACUACAAACAAUCCUGCACAAAUUUACACCACAUUGAGCAUUACACAAACGUCUUUUACCAUUCACAGUUUGUAAUUUUUCAUGAAUAAUUUUUUUUUAAAGAAUUUUUCAUGAAUAAUAUAACUCAAAUUGCAAUUUCAGAAAAGUAACUUCACAUUUUGCAUGCACGUAGGCACUUUUUAUAGUCCAAAACCAGAGAACUGCC